AGUCUGGUGCCAGCAGCCGCGGUAAUUCCAGCUCCAAUAGCGUAUAUUAAAGUUGUUGCAGUUAAAAAGCUCGUAGUUGAAUUUCGGGAUCAAUUUAUCGGUCGCGCCAAUGGUAUGAACUGGUACAAUUGGUUUCUCCCUUCUGACGAAGCAUGAUGUCAUUAAUUUGGUGUCGUGGGGAAUCAGGACUGUUACUUUGAAAAAAUUAGAGUGUUUAAAGCAAGCAUUAGCUUGAAUACAUUAGCAUGGAAUAAUGAAAUAGGACGUUUGAUCCUAUUUCGUUGGUUUCUAGGAUCGACGUAAUGAUUAAUAGGGAUAGUUGGGGGCAUUAGUAUUCAAUUGUCAGAGGUGAAAUUCUUGGAUUUAUUGAAGACUAACUACUGCGAAAGCAUUUGCCAAGGAUGUUUUCAUUAAUCAAGAACGAAAGUUAGGGGAUCGAAGACGAUCAGAUACCGUCGUAGUCUUAACCAUAAACUAUGCCGACUAGGGAUCGGAUGAUGUUAAUUUUUUAAUGACUCAUUCGGCGCCUUACGGGAAACCAAAGUGUUUGGGUUCCGGGGGGAGUAUGGUCGCAAGGCUGAAACUUAAAGGAAUUGACGGAAGGGCACCACCAGGGGUGGAGCCUGCGGCUUAAUUUGACCCAACACGGGGAAACUCACCAGGUCCAGACAUAGUAAGGAUUGACAGAUUGAGAGCUCUUUCUUGAUUCUAUGGGUGGCGGUGCAUGGCCGUUCUUAGUUGGUGGAGUGAUUUGUCUGGUUAAUUCCGAUAACGAACGAGACCUUAACCUGCUAAAUAGCUAGGCUUAGCAUUGCUAGGUCGUCAGCUUCUUAGAGGGACUAUCGGUGUUUAACCGAUGGAAGUUUGAGGCAAUAACAGGUCUGUGAUGCCCUUAGAUGUUCUGGGCCGCACGCGCGCUACACUGAUGAAGUCAACGAGUUCACUCCCUUUGUCGGAAGACAUGGGUAAUCUUUUGAAACUUCAUCGUGCUGGGGAUAGAGCAUUGCAAUUAUUGCUCUUAAACGAGGAAUCCCUAGUAAGUACAAGUCAUCAGCUUGUGCUGAUUACGUCCCUGCCCUUUGUACACGCCGCCCGUCGCUACUACCGAUUGAAUGGCUUAGUGAGGACUUCGGAUUGAGCUUCGGAAGCUGUAAAAGGCAUCCGAUUUUUAAAAAGUUGUUCAAACUUGGUCAUUUAGAGGAAGUAAAAGUC
This 1212-nucleotide ribosomal RNA is filed under the name metagenome. RNAcentral's name for it is "SSU rRNA". It matches the Rfam family "Eukaryotic small subunit ribosomal RNA", at positions 558 to 1790 of the family's 1831-position model. The record is from RNAcentral.